AGGGAAUCUUCCGCAAUGGACGAAAGUCUGACGGAGCAACGCCGCGUGAGCGAUGAAGGCCUUCGGGUCGUAAAGCUCUGUUGUCAGGGAAGAACAAGUGCCGGAGUCACUGCCGGCACCUUGACGGUACCUGACCAGAAAGCCACGGCUAACUACGUGCCAGCAGCCGCGGUAAUACGUAGGUGGCAAGCGUUGUCCGGAAUUAUUGGGCGUAAAGCGCGCGCAGGCGGUCCUUUAAGUCUGAUGUGAAAUCCCGCGGCUCAACCGCGGGCGGCCAUUGGAAACUGGGGGACUUGAGUGCAGAAGAGGAAAGCGGAAUUCCACGUGUAGCGGUGAAAUGCGUAGAGAUGUGGAGGAACACCAGUGGCGAAGGCGGCUUUCUGGUCUGUAACUGACGCUGAGGCGCGAAAGCGUGGGGAGCAAAC
This 425-nucleotide ribosomal RNA is filed under the name uncultured bacterium. RNAcentral describes it as "bacterial SSU rRNA". It matches the Rfam family "Bacterial small subunit ribosomal RNA", at positions 356 to 773 of the family's 1533-position model. The record is from RNAcentral.